CUAUAUUCAAAAAUUUUUUUUCAUUACUUUUUUUUGUGUGUCUUCAAACUCUAAACGCGCAUAAACUUUUCCCCAAAAAAAAAUUUUUUAAUAACAAAUUCUCUCUCAAAAAAAAAUUAAUUAUAUCUUUUGGCGCUGUACGUUGGCGAGGCUCAACCAUAACAACAACAAUCAGAACGAGAACGAGAACAGAGCAGAGCAGGAGCAUUGAGGCUGAGCCCAACACCUAGAGCUGCUUUCAAUAUUCAUGGAGCGCGUUCAAUGAGCUGGAAAUGUCCAAGUGGCCGCAAUGAACCGCUGCUCCCCAACAACAACAAAAACAACAACAACAGCAAGCAGCAUGAAUCUAAAAAAAAUUCGCAGCAAGAAAAAUAGAUAACAAGCUCGUUAAGCCAACAGCCAAGUAAUUAUAAAUAAAUAAAAAAAAAAUGCAUAAAAUGACAGAGCAAAAAAUAUAAAAUAUAUAAAUUUAAAUUGAAUUAAAAUAUAAACACAGAGUGCAAUGUGAAUUCAUUCAAAAUUAUUCACACGUCGAAAGUGAAACAUAUAUAUAUCGCAUAUGUAUUUAUGAGAACGUAAACAAAAGUGCGCGCGUGUAUUGUGUGUAAAGCAAAAAUAAAACAACAACUAUAUAUAAUUUUUUUUAACUCUUUUGUUUUGUUUUUUUUUGACGUGCAACAGAACCAGCAAAUCAAAAGUUGAUAAUGUGCUUCAAACUAAGAAUGUGCAAACAGCAAACGAAAACUAACUAAAGCGUAAACCAGCGAGCAUAUCUAUAGACACACACACACACAUACAUACGUACAUUGUAUAUGUAUGUAUGCUGUUUGAGCAAAGUUUAACGUAACUUCUAACUGUGCUACGUCGUUUUCCCAAAGCCUGCGCUCCUUCGUGCUAUAAAUAUAAUCAAAAGAAAAAGAAAAAGAAAGAAAAAGAAAAACUUACUUAUACAUAGACGAUAUACUAGCUGGUAUUACUUAACUAUCAAAUAGCAAUCUAUGAUUAAAUCAUAUAAUCCAUAUAAACUCGUAUGCAAAAAAUCUAAAACUUCAACGGAAAUUUAACUACACAACAAAAACAAUACAAAUGCACUAGGCUGCUGCAAAUGCGGGAUAUCAGAUUCAUAUCGCCAAACACCUAAAGGAAAUUAAUAAAUUACAUAAAUAUAAUUUGGCAAUUGAGCAAUUUACAGUGAGCGAGAAAAAUAUGCGCAAAAUUAUCAAAGUUGCGGCUAACAAACGUUUAAAUUUAAUACAUUUUUUAUAAAGCUUAACAAUUCUAUAAAACAAUUAGGCAAUAACAGAGCAAAGGCCAGACAACAACAUUUAGCUAGAAAUUAAACAAAAAACUAAAUAUUAAAUUAACUUGAAUUCAACAAUUUAAUGAGCAACAAAAUAUACAG
Molecule: long non-coding RNA, 1402 nt
Organism: Drosophila busckii
Lineage: Eukaryota; Metazoa; Arthropoda; Insecta; Diptera; Drosophilidae
Exons: 3
Source: RefSeq, a predicted model, not a curated record